This 68-nucleotide transfer RNA is filed under the name Bavayia cyclura. RNAcentral's name for it is "tRNA-Trp". It matches the Rfam family "tRNA". Rfam says of the family: Transfer RNA (tRNA) molecules are approximately 80 nucleotides in length. The record is from RNAcentral. RNAcentral also lists the same sequence under 1 other name. Lineage: Eukaryota; Metazoa; Chordata; Lepidosauria; Squamata; Diplodactylidae.
AGAGACUUAGGUUAAUAUCAAACCAAGAGCCUUCAAAGCCCUAAAUAGGGGACACUCCCUAGUCUCUG